AUCCCAUGAUGAGGACAUGCGGCCACAUAUUACUGCUGACGUUCCCAUGCUUCGGGAAUCGAUUCAUCCCUUGUCUACUGGAAGCUUGAAAUCCUUCCGCGAAGGGC
Oryza meridionalis is the source of this 107-nucleotide non-coding RNA. The record is from Rfam. NCBI's taxonomy places the organism in Eukaryota, Viridiplantae, Streptophyta, Magnoliopsida, Poales, Poaceae.